RNAcentral lists this ribosomal RNA (326 nucleotides) under uncultured eukaryote. Its description in RNAcentral is "partial 18S ribosomal RNA". It matches the Rfam family "Eukaryotic small subunit ribosomal RNA", at positions 1470 to 1796 of the family's 1831-position model. The record is from RNAcentral.
CCCUUAGAUGUUCUGGGCCGCACGCGCGCUACACUGAAGGGAUCAGCGUGUUUUCCCUUUCCGAGAGGAACGGGUAACCCGCUGAACCCCCUUCGUGGUAGGGAUCGGAGCUUGCAAUUGUUCUCCGUGAACCAGGAAUUCCCAGUAAGCGCAAGUCAUAAGCUUGCGUUGAUUACGUCCCUGCCCUUUGUACACACCGCCCGUCGCUACUACCGAUUGAACGUUUUAGUGAGGUAUUUGGACUGGGCCUUGGGAGGUUUCGGCCGCCCUUGUUGCUCGGAAAGACUCCCAAACUUGAGCGUUUAGAGGAAGUAAAAGUCGUAACA